UAAGCAUAUCAAUAAGCGGAGGAAAAGAAACCAACAGGGAUUGCCCUAGUAAUGGCGAAUGAACAGGCAAAAGCUCAGAUUUGAAACCCUCGGGAUUGUAAUCUGGAGACCUGGAUUUGGCACGCUGACCAAGUCUUCUGGAACGGAGCGCCAUGGAGGGUGACAGCCCCGUAGCAGCAGCCACUGUAAAUCCGGGUCGACGAGUCGAGUUGUUUGGGAAUGCAGCUCUAAGUGGGUGGUAUGCUCCAUCUAAAGCUAAAUAUUGGCGAGAGACCGAUAGCGAACAAGUACUGUGAAGGAAAGAUGAAAAGAACUUUGAAAAGAGAGUGAAAAAGUACGUGAAAUUGUUGAAAUGGAAGGCAAUGAGGUGCGAUUGAACCGGACGUUUGCGGGCAGGACAAAAGCGCAGGCCGCCUCGGCAUUGCCUGCGUGCAUACUGCCUCGCGGACUACCAGUUCUAACAACGCCUUAUUGCACCCGUCUUGAAACACGGACCAAGGAGUCUAUUGCCUAUGCGAGUGUUCGGGUGGCAAACCCAUACGCGCAGUGAAAGCACUCGGUUCGAACCUUCGGGGGCAGAACCGGCCGAACUCUCCAGGGAGUAUUGAGCAAGCAGAGGUGAUGGGACC
This 629-nucleotide ribosomal RNA is filed under the name Entelexis cf. sorbosivorans Y54. RNAcentral describes it as "eukaryotic LSU rRNA". It matches the Rfam family "Eukaryotic large subunit ribosomal RNA", at positions 35 to 816 of the family's 3401-position model. The record is from RNAcentral. Lineage: Eukaryota; Fungi; Ascomycota; Dipodascomycetes; Dipodascales; Trichomonascaceae.